This is a long non-coding RNA of Myotis brandtii (Brandt's bat), 358 nucleotides long. RefSeq lists it as uncharacterized. NCBI's taxonomy places the organism in Eukaryota, Metazoa, Chordata, Mammalia, Chiroptera, Vespertilionidae. The transcript has 2 exons. The record is from RefSeq and is a predicted model, not a curated record.
UGGAGAUGAAUGUGAACAAAUACCCAUACCACAGGUGGGAAAAUGUCUGACAACAAACAACGUAUAUUUCAAAUAACCUUCGGAAGCAACCAGACUCAUGCUAGUGUUACCACUACUUCUAUCAUAUCUUUGGAUCUUUGAUAGGUGUGCUGUUUGACUAUUCAGUAACUUCUGAGUCUCUUCUAGGUGGGCUACCCAAAUGUUGGUAAGAGUUCAACAAUCAACACUAUCAUGGGCAACAAGAAAGUAUCUGUGUCUGCCACACCUGGUCACACCAAGCAUUUUCAGACUCUCUUCGUGGAACCUGGCCUCUGCUUAUGUGACUGCCCAGGCCUGGUGAUGCCAUCCUUUGUCUCUA